UAUAACCGGCGAUGUCCGAAUGGGGAAACCCAGUGCAAUUCGUUGCACUAUCGUUAACUGAAUACAUAGGUUAACGAGGCGAACCGGGGGAACUGAAACAUCUAAGUACCCCGAGGAAAAGAAAUCAACCGAGAUUCCCCCAGUAGCGGCGAGCGAACGGGGAGCAGCCCAGAGUCUGAAUCAGCUUGUGUGUUAGUGGAACGGUCUGGAAAGUCCGACGGUACAGGGUGAUAGUCCCGUACACCAAAAUGCACAGGUUGUGAACUCGAAGAGUAGGGCGGGACACGUGGUAUCCUGUCUGAAUAUGGGGGGACCAUCCUCCAAGGCUAAAUACUCCUGACUGACCGAUAGUGAACCAGUACCGUGAGGGAAAGGCGAAAAGAACCCCGGCGAGGGGAGUGAAAAAGAACCUGAAACCGUGUACGUACAAGCAGUGGGAGCACCUUCGGGUGUGACUGCGUACCUUUUGUAUAAUGGGUCAGCGACUUAUAUUCUGUAGCAAGGUUAACCGUAUAGGGGAGCCGCAGGGAAACCGAGUCUUAACUGGGCGUUAAGUUGCAGGGUAUAGACCCGAAACCCGGUGAUCUAGCCAUGGGCAGGUUGAAGGUUGGGUAACACUAACUGGAGGACCGAACCGACUAAUGUUGAAAAAUUAGCGGAUGACUUGUGGCUGGGGGUGAAAGGCCAAUCAAACCGGGAGAUAGCUGGUUCUCCCCGAAAGCUAUUUAGGUAGCGCCUCGUGAACUCAUCUUCGGGGGUAGAGCACUGUUUCGGCUAGGGGGUCAUCCCGACUUACCAACCCGAUGCAAACUACGAAUACCGAAGAAUGUUAUCACGGGAGACACACGGCGGGUGCUAACGUCCGUCGUGAAGAGGGAAACAACCCAGACCGCCAGCUAAGGUCCCAAAGUCAUGGUUAAGUGGGAAACGAUGUGGGAAGGCACAGACAGCCAGGAUGUUGGCUUAGAAGCAGCCAUCAUUUAAAGAAAGCGUAAUAGCUCACUGGUCGAGUCGGCCUGCGCGGAAGAUGUAACGGGGCUAAACCAUGCACCGAAGCUGCGGCAGCGACACUAUGUGUUGUUGGGUAGGGGAGCGUUCUGUAAGCCUGCGAAGGUGUGCUGUGAGGCAUGCUGGAGGUAUCAGAAGUGCGAAUGCUGACAUAAGUAACGAUAAAGCGGGUGAAAAGCCCGCUCGCCGGAAGACCAAGGGUUCCUGUCCAACGUUAAUCGGGGCAGGGUGAGUCGACCCCUAAGGCGAGGCCGAAAGGCGUAGUCGAUGGGAAACAGGUUAAUAUUCCUGUACUUGGUGUUACUGCGAAGGGGGGACGGAGAAGGCUAUGUUAGCCGGGCGACGGUUGUCCCGGUUUAAGCAUGUAGGCUGGUUAUCCAGGCAAAUCCGGAUAAUCAAGGCUGAGGUGUGAUGACGAGGCACUACGGUGCUGAAGUAACAAAUGCCCUGCUUCCAGGAAAAGCCUCUAAGCAUCAGGUAACAUCAAAUCGUACCCCAAACCGACACAGGUGGUCAGGUAGAGAAUACCAAGGCGCUUGAGAGAACUCGGGUGAAGGAACUAGGCAAAAUGGUGCCGUAACUUCGGGAGAAGGCACGCUGGUGUGUAGGUGAAGUCCCUGCGGAUGGAGCUGAGACCAGUCGAAGAUACCAGCUGGCUGCAACUGUUUAUUAAAAACACAGCACUGUGCAAACACGAAAGUGGACGUAUACGGUGUGACGCCUGCCCGGUGCCGGAAGGUUAAUUGAUGGGGUUAUCCGUAAGGAGAAGCUCUUGAUCGAAGCCCCGGUAAACGGCGGCCGUAACUAUAACGGUCCUAAGGUAGCGAAAUUCCUUGUCGGGUAAGUUCCGACCUGCACGAAUGGCGUAAUGAUGGCCAGGCUGUCUCCACCCGAGACUCAGUGAAAUUGAACUCGCUGUGAAGAUGCAGUGUACCCGCGGCAAGACGGAAAGACCCCGUGAACCUUUACUAUAGCUUGACACUGAACAUUGAGCCUUGAUGUGUAGGAUAGGUGGGAGGCUUUGAAGCGUGGACGCCAGUCUGCGUGGAGCCAACCUUGAAAUACCACCCUUUAAUGUUUGAUGUUCUAACGUUGGCCCCUGACCGGGGUUGCGGACAGUGUCUGGUGGGUAGUUUGACUGGGGCGGUCUCCUCCCAAAGCGUAACGGAGGAGCACGAAGGUUAGCUAAUCCUGGUCGGACAUCAGGAGGUUAGUGCAAUGGCAUAAGCUAGCUUGACUGCGAGCGUGACGGCGCGAGCAGGUGCGAAAGCAGGUCAUAGUGAUCCGGUGGUUCUGAAUGGAAGGGCCAUCGCUCAACGGAUAAAAGGUACUCCGGGGAUAACAGGCUGAUACCGCCCAAGAGUUCAUAUCGACGGCGGUGUUUGGCACCUCGAUGUCGGCUCAUCACAUCCUGGGGCUGAAGUAGGUCCCAAGGGUAUGGCUGUUCGCCAUUUAAAGUGGUACGCGAGCUGGGUUUAGAACGUCGUGAGACAGUUCGGUCCCUAUCUGCCGUGGGCGCUGGAGAAUUGAGGGGGGCUGCUCCUAGUACGAGAGGACCGGAGUGGACGCAUCACUGGUGUUCGGGUUGUCAUGCCAAUGGCACUGCCCGGUAGCUAAAUGCGGAAGAGAUAAGUGCUGAAAGCAUCUAAGCACGAAACUUGCCCCGAGAUGAGUUCUCCCUGAGACUUUAAGUCUCCUGAAGGAACGUUGAAGACGACGACGUUGAUAGGCCGGGUGUGUAAGCGCAGCGAUGCGUUGAGCUAACCGGUACUAAUGAACCGUGAGGCUUAACCUU
Molecule: ribosomal RNA, 2803 nt
Filed under: Klebsiella pneumoniae
Lineage: Bacteria; Pseudomonadati; Pseudomonadota; Gammaproteobacteria; Enterobacterales; Enterobacteriaceae
Description: bacterial LSU rRNA
Rfam family: Bacterial large subunit ribosomal RNA
Source: RNAcentral